This is an RNA transcript of Seriola aureovittata, 1898 nucleotides long. It is a transcript of the gene named RAD18 E3 ubiquitin protein ligase, with no coding region annotated. The record is from RefSeq and is a predicted model, not a curated record. Lineage: Eukaryota; Metazoa; Chordata; Actinopteri; Carangiformes; Carangidae. The transcript has 14 exons.
GGCGUCCUGCAUCUCUUCGAGCGGGACUUUGGUCACAGACCACAGAAACAAAAAGUUCUGUGACUUCCUCAAAUAGCUGCUUUUUGUUUAUUAGACAUGGCGCUCCAGAUUGAAGCGGAUUUACCACCUGGCCUUUCUGGUCUGAAAAAUGUUGAUGCCCUGCUUCGGUGUCCAAUUUGCUUCGACUUCCUCAAUAUUUCAAUGAUGACAAAAUGCUCUCACAACUUUUGCUCUUUGUGCAUCAGACAAUUUCUUUGCUACAAGUUGCAGUGUCCAGUUUGCAAUACACAAGCAACAGAACAAGAUCUAAGAAACAACCGUUUAUUGGAUGACUUGGUCGUAAACUUUCAAGCUGCAAGGCAGCAGUUGUCAAAAGCAAAUUUUGACUCUCCUCCAAUAUCGCCCAAGACCCCAGCUUCAGCUGUCAAAUGUAAAACUCCCAGAGCGAGGCCCCAGAAGUGUAACAGCUCCGUUCUGAGCAACUUUUUCCAAAAGAAGUCCAAAACACCUCCAGCUAAAGAAACCCAACGAGAUGGUUCUGUCUCUCAGUGGGUCCAGCGGGGAAAAAUACAGACUGCACACACUCACCGUGCAAAUGAUGCUGACCUACAUUCAGCAACUGCUCGUCUUCCAGUGACCGUGAAGGAAGAGCCGAUGGAUGUGGAGGAGGCAUCUGUCCAGGGUUUGAUGACUGUCAAACAGGAGGACACAUCCUCGCACAGUUUCAGCACCGGGGUUGAGAUGGCACAUUCCUCUUCACCAUCGAUAGACGUGAAGCCCGUAAUCAAAGUGGAGUGCCCCGUGUGUUCUGUCAGUGUGUCACAGCAGUUUAUCAACAAGCAUCUGGACACAUGUCUUAGCAGUGGAGAGAAGAAAGAAAGCUUGAGGAGCUCCCUUGGCAGGACGAGGCAUCCAAUGACCAAACUGGUGUACAACCUACUUUCCAUGCAUGAGUUGAAGAGGAGGCUGAAGGAAUGCCACCUCUCAAUGCAGGGCUCUCGAGACCAGCUGAUCAAAAGACACCAGCAGUUUGUCCACAUAUACAACGCCCAGUGUGAUUCCCUAAACCCACAAUCAGCUGAAGAUAUUGCCAAACAGGUGGAGGCCAACGAGAAGAUCAGGAACCAACUGCAGGGGAAAGCCAAACCUGCCAUGGUUUUCACAAAGAAUCAGACUGAGAAGGAAAUUGAUGAGGUGCAUUCAAAUUAUAGGAAGCAGCACAGCAGCGACUUUUCCCGCCUUAUCGCCCAUGUCCGGGGUCGCCUAGAGACCACAAGGCAGACUCGUAUCAAACAGGAAGUCAUAGUGGAGAGAGAGGAAGAGACGCCCUCUGCAGAUCAAGUUGAAGAAUCAAAGAGCUGCUUAGUGAUAAAGGUAGAAGACAGUGACGAGGAGCCAUUAGCGAGAGGGAUUGAGUUGUCACCCAGCCCCACUUACAGUGACGUGUCCAUCAGCAGUUCUCUUUCUGACAUCUUUGGUCCAGAGCCUGCCAGAAACCUUGAGUUGAUUUAAGGUAAUGCAUGGUGUUUAUGGCUUUGGGACAGUCCCUCCGAGACUCAUAGCGGAUGCUCCUUCCAUGACUGAACAUCAUGAUCAGUAGAGACACAGAGAGGAACUCAGUCCAAAAGCGAACGUCAAGCUCCAGAGGAGACGAUGCAGCUUCGUCGCACGUUCCAGGAAAACGAAAGCGUAAAAAGUAAGGAGAGAUGGAAGACAGAGAAGGCAAGAGAGAGAGAGAGAGAGAGAGAGAGAGAAAGAUCUCUCACGGACACUGAACUCAAGGAAUGAUUUUUUUUUUUUUUUUUUUUUUCUCUACACAUCCCUCUCUGGCACUUAUUUUCUGAAGUUGCACAGUUAACUUCUUCAUGGUGUGAAUAAAUGUUGAGUAUUUUAACAUA